Molecule: ribosomal RNA, 449 nt
Filed under: uncultured bacterium
Lineage: Bacteria
Description: bacterial SSU rRNA
Rfam family: Bacterial small subunit ribosomal RNA
Source: RNAcentral
UCCAGACUCCUACGGGAGGCAGCAGUGGGGAAUAUUGGGCAAUGGGCGCAAGCCUGACCCAGCAACGCCGCGUGAAGGAAGAAGGCUUUCGGGUUGUAAACUUCUUUUCUCAGGGACGAAGCAAGUGACGGUACCUGAGGAAUAAGCCACGGCUAACUACGUGCCAGCAGCCGCGGUAAUACGUAGGUGGCAAGCGUUAUCCGGAUUUACUGGGUGUAAAGGGCGUGUAGGCGGGACUGCAAGUCAGAUGUGAAAUCCGCGGGCUUAACCCGCGAACUGCAUUUGAAACUGCGGAUCUUGAGUACCGGAGAGGUUAUCGGAAUUCCUUGUGUAGCGGUGAAAUGCGUAGAUAUAAGGAAGAACACCAGUGGCGAAGGCGGAUAACUGGACGGCAACUGACGGUGAGGCGCGAAAGCGUGGGGAGCAAACAGGAUUAGAUACCCGCGUAC